This 279-nucleotide ribosomal RNA is filed under the name Pleurostoma richardsiae. Its description in RNAcentral is "partial 28S ribosomal RNA". It matches the Rfam family "Eukaryotic large subunit ribosomal RNA", at positions 351 to 650 of the family's 3401-position model. Lineage: Eukaryota; Fungi; Ascomycota; Sordariomycetes; Calosphaeriales; Pleurostomataceae. The record is from RNAcentral.
GAGUGAUCGAAAGAUGAAAAGCACCUUGAAAAGGGGGUUAAACAGUACGUGAAAUUGUUGAAAGGGAAGCGCCUGUGACCAGACUUGCGCCGGGCGGAUCAUCCAGCGUUCUCGCUGGUGCGCUCCGCCCGGCUCAGGCCAGCAUCGGUUCUGGCGGGGGGAUAAAGGCGGCGGGAACGUGGCUCCCCCGGGAGUGUUAUAGCCCGCCGUGCAAUGCCCCCGCUGGGACCGAGGUUCGCGCAUCUGCAAGGAUGCUGGCGUAAUGGUCACCAGCGACCC